This 1466-nucleotide long non-coding RNA is filed under the name Mus musculus (house mouse). RNAcentral describes it as "RIKEN cDNA 2610316D01 gene". Lineage: Eukaryota; Metazoa; Chordata; Mammalia; Rodentia; Muridae. The record is from RNAcentral.
GUGAGUGUGAGAGCAAGAACAGCCCGCAGGUCCCGAGGCGCUUGCAGGGGACUCUGCCGCGGAAAGUUCCCAGUCCCCAGCCGCAGAAGCUUUUUAUUUUUGGUUGAUUCCUGCUGUCUACUCCUCUUGGAUGCCUUUGUGAAACUGCUUCUAUCUGAGAAGGAGGAGUUGCCAUUUAGCAAGUAGUAGGUGGUACCGUGUGUGGCAGAGUCCGAUGUGUUACACCACGAGGACAUUCAUCUUUGCAAUUGGUGAAGUCCUUCUACCUAGUUCCCCUUCCUUGUGCACAGAAGAGGACUGGAAAACUCCUCACAGGACUGCAUACUGCUAUCUCUGAGAAGUUUCGGUGUGAAAUCAUAUCUUAUUGAAAAUAUGGAUGUAACAUGUUGACACCACAGAAACCCUCAUAACGUAGGCUGCCAGUUGAUCACCCUUUCUACUCCACCUGGGGCAAAGCUGAUUUCAGACACACCUCAGAGAGACCAGAAAGAAGAAAGUACCUCUUCCUUCCAAGCUUCUACCUAAGAGUAUACUGGAAGGUUUACCUAGAGCAACAAGACAACGAAAUGGAUUGUCCUUCUCACGCUAGUCCACACACAAUCCUCAUCAUUUUGAUAAGAUAGCAUGAAGUCUCUUAUCGCUUGUGGAUCCAGCACUUUGGUUCAGAAAUGAGACAGUCAUCAUCUUCAAGGUGAAGAAAUACAGUUUGUCCCUUCCUCUCAAAAUGAAGAAAGCUACAUUCAUGUAUAUGUAUCUGGACUUCAUUAAUUUGUUUCUAUUUCCAUUUUGUUACCUCUCUGAGACAAGUAUGAAGCUUGUCUCUAAAAUUAUAGUUAUGUACUAUUACUCAUUUGAAAUGAUAAUAAUUACUCAUUAAUAAAUACUAAAAUAUUUGAAACCACAAAGCAUUUAAAUUCCUCAUAAGGGGCUAUAGAUGGAAUUAUAAGAGAAAAUACCCUUAAGGUGAUUCCCCAUGACGAUGAAUUAUUCCUGGAGAAUUUGCAACCCUACUGUGACCAUUAGUAUCUGCUGGAUUUCCCUGCUCUAAGAGGCUAAUGUAUCUGACCAACUAAUCAGAGGAACCAUGAGAGCAGAUGAUGCCUGAACCUUCAUUACUUGUCUUUCCUGCUUCUGUAAUUUUGAUGCUUUGUUAUUUUCUGUCUCUGUGCUCAAACACUGAUUGGUUAUUCAAACCAAUGACAAGCUGAAGAAUUGGACAGUCUUCCAGGUGAUUUAUUUUCUAUUUCUUAUUUCUGAAACCUAAAUGUAGCUCAUGUUGUGUAAGAAAAGUCAUCUCUUGACUUUCUGAAAAAUAAUUUUCUGAUCUUUGUCUUGUAUUGUCAAUAGCUUCCUAUACCCUAUACAAACACCAUUGCACUGGCGUGGUAGAGAAAUGCCAUCUAACCUUUUAUUUAAUGAUUAUUAUGUUGGCUGUACUAGAUAAACACAAACCACAGAAAUCAAAA